This 468-nucleotide ribosomal RNA is filed under the name uncultured bacterium. RNAcentral describes it as "partial 16S ribosomal RNA". It matches the Rfam family "Bacterial small subunit ribosomal RNA", at positions 28 to 507 of the family's 1533-position model. The record is from RNAcentral.
GAUGAACGCUGGCGGCGUGCUUAACACAUGCAAGUCGAACGGAAAGGCCCUGCUUUUGUGGCUUGCUCGUGUGGCGAACGGGUGAGUAACACGCGAGUAACCUGCCCUUCACUUUCUGAUAACUUAAGGAAACUGGGGCUAUUACCGGAUAGGAGCUCUUGCUGCAUGGUGGGGGUUGGAUAGUUUAGGCGGUUGGGGAUGGUCUCGCGGCUUACGAGCUUGCUGGUGGGGUAGUGGCUUACCAAGGCUUUGACGGGUAGCCGGCCUGCGAGGGUGACCGGCCACAUUGGGACUGAGAUACGGCCCAGACUCCUACGGGAGGCAGCAGUGGAGAAUAUUGCACAAUGGGCGGAAGCCUGAUGCAGCAGCGCCGCGUGCGGGAUGACGGCCUUCGGGUUGUAAACCGCUUUCGCCUGUGACGAAGCGUGAGUGACGGUAAUGGGUAAAGAAGCACCGGCUAACUACGUG